UAGAAUUCAGACCCCAACUGGACGGAGCACAUUCCUCUGGGAUAUUCUCGUUCCGGAAAUUCAAGAAUCGCAGAGAGAUGAUGAGGUUCCGCUGUUUCAUCUUUUGGGAUCUUGAUUUCAAACAUAGAGAGAACCAUUUCUCCAUAUCUAUGACGCAACAACAUGUAAAUCGUUGUACUCAUUUCCUUGGCGAAUUCGGUUUCGAUAAAGGAAGGAUAGGUUUGGAGCUAAUCUUCAAUUCGAAGUGUCUGAAGAAUUUUCAGAUGGAGGGCUUACGCUCACAAUUUGGGUAUCGAGACGAAGGAGGAGAACA
This 313-nucleotide unclassified non-coding RNA is filed under the name Hevea brasiliensis (rubber tree). The record is from RNAcentral. Lineage: Eukaryota; Viridiplantae; Streptophyta; Magnoliopsida; Malpighiales; Euphorbiaceae.